RNAcentral lists this ribosomal RNA (36 nucleotides) under Erysiphe neolycopersici. RNAcentral's name for it is "Oidium neolycopersici partial 28S ribosomal RNA". The record is from RNAcentral. Lineage: Eukaryota; Fungi; Ascomycota; Leotiomycetes; Helotiales; Erysiphaceae.
CUGACCUCGAAUCAGGGAGGAAUACCCGCUGAACUU